AUUCCCUCUAGUCCUAUCAUAAGUCACCUGUGAGAAGAGGCCGACCCCCAGCUCCCCACACCUUCCCCUCAGGUAGCUGUAGCCAGCAAUGAGGCCUCCCCCGAGCCUCCUCUGAAGGGCCCGUCCCACAAGGAGAGCUCGCAUGGAGCCUCAUCGGGACGCAGCUGGCAGCCCCCAGUCCCCCGCUGCCCAGGGCCAUGCUCUCACCCUCUGGCUGCCACCUGCAGAGUUGGGGCAAGCCUGCCUGGGGCCCAGAAAAGAAGCUGCCCCACAUGUGCUCCGGGCUGCAGGUGGCGAAACCCCUCAGCCACGUUUCUUUCAAGAGCCUGGGGUGCCUAUAAAUACAUUUCUUUGCAAACCUGCUGCAGUCUCAGUGAAACAUUGCCAGAGGCGGCCUGCAGAAACUGAAUCCUGCCCCUCUCUGAAGAAACUCAGCCUGAAAAGGUUUCCAUAGAGCCCCCAGGAGCCCAGUUUCCACAGCAGGCUGCUUUUCCUCACACAGGCUGCUUCUCACAUGCAUAGACAGGAUACGCGCAUCCCUGCGUCACAGGCGAGGCGAGACAUUUGGGAUGUACGCCCCUGUUGGGAUGUACGCCCCCCUUGGGAUGUACGCCCCCGCCUCUCACCCCUCUCCAGGAAAUGACUUUGCUUGGAAAGUACAGGAGACGUAAUCCACGCUGUGUUCCUCUUGUUAUCUGCAAGUUGUCUGGCCACGCUCACGCUCCUCACCACCUACAUUUUAACCUCAAGGCCUUUACUUUUGUAAACCGCUGUACAAAUGCUUAAUUUACAUCCGUUGGUAAUGUUUUGUCUUUCGGCAAGACUGGAGAUUAGAUGUAAGUUUAAGCAAUGUGUAUUUUCAGCACUAGUAUUCAUAUUUGUCAAAAUAUUCUCUACAGAGCUUGAGAUAAGUCCCGCAGCUCUUAGAGGGGCCUUUGUUUUAAACCACACCAGCGGGCCUGAUAAACACACCUGCAGUUACCUGAAAAAGGAGAUUUAACUUUGCUGGCUUCUCGGAAGAAACGCGUUAAUGUGAAAAAAGCGAAACUGGUGUAUUGGCCCAUAGUUGAAGUAGCAAGGCCCGGAGCAAUCUGAGUUUCUGUUCGCAUCUGCAGGAUUUUGUGCUUUUCGUUCCAGUUGAAGAAAAUGAACAUCCUGAUAACGAACCGGAAUAUUACAACUUUAAUAGGAUAAAAAUAAAUCACAUGCUGCACCAGUAACACCUGUAGUCAUCCAGGUUGACAAUAACUAGAUACAAUAUAUUAUUGUCCGUGGCCUUCCUGCUUCACGCUUCUUUCCAGCAACGCAGUGUCAGCUGGCUAAAUGGCAGGAAACCCAGACAGGCUCCGCUGUGUGAGCCCAGCCACUUCCAGCCAGUCUGAAACCCUUGCUUGGUGAACAAUCGCCAUCAGGCUGUGGAAAAAAAAGCAUUUCUUUGAGAAGGAAGGCUGUUUACCCUGUGCAGUUUUGGUUCCCUGUUUUGAAACGACAUCAUUUUUAACCUCAGACAUAACAAGCAGCACAACUUGGGAAAAAGAGCAACACUUUAUUGCAUGUAAGUACAGUGCACAAACACACCUUCCUGCUGUCCAGUUGCUGAAGUUACCAAGAUUCAGGUCCUCCUCUUACACCAAGGAAGGGCAUCCGAGUGCAGCGCCUGCAGCUCCUGGCUGACAGGGGAAGGCGAAAGGGAAACCAAGGCACGCAGCAGGAGCUGCCACUGCCCACGUCAGCACGGCAGGCGCUGGGGUGGGCUGUGACUGGCAGGGCAAUGCAGCAGCUCCUUUCUGCAAGUUCAGCAUUCAGCCUGCAGAGGAACUACUCGUCCUUGCUGCUGAACCUCAGCUGAGAAGCUCGGUGCAGUGGUACACCUCUACUAGCAGUCCCCCGGUGUAAACACCGAGUGAUUCCGAAACCCGUGGGCUCGUCCUGGGGUUAGGUAGGUGUGACCGAACUUGCACAGUUAGGCAAGAAGGUAGCAAAACACAGUUGUUUCGAACCUUUAACUAGAAAGACAUUGUUUUUCCCCCCCUACCUAGUUCUUGUUAGACCCUGUGGCUUUUUGAAGCAAUGUCUAAGAAGCUGCAGCAGCACUGCAAGAACGGGGUGGCAUUUUUACAAGAUGAAGGAAUAUGUGGUGUAUUUUGGGACUAGGAAGCUGUUAGGAUUUCAUCGCUUGCUUCCCUCUGGUAGUCCAGCCGUAAUUGAAGACGAUUGCACGAUGGCCUGGUUCAACAUUCACUGCACUGCUGCUUUUUACGUGAUAGCACUAACAUUAGGCUUGCCAUUCCUGGUGAGAGCUUUCCAGGAAUGGAAAUCGGCAUGGCUUUUUGUAAAUAUAAUUACACGAUUUCCUCCUGGACAUUCCAAAAGCCUUUGUCAGGUCGUGUACGUCUUGUUCCAGGUAACUGCGAAGCAGACUGGGGGUACUCACGGGUCAGAACCGUGCUGCCGGCCUGCAGUGAGGUUUCACCAGCGGAGGGGAAAGCAGAGCCACACAGAACGAAACCGAACAUGGAGAGGAGGCAGAUAAGCUCUGUGGCUUACAAACAUUUAACUUUUAGGAUCAGAUGAAAACACAAAAGAAAAUAUUUUUGUUCUAUUUAUUUGAAAGGCCAUGAGCUCUUAAUUAAACAGCUUUGAUUAAAACUCACAUGCUUCUAUCUAAUUUUGAACACAGGUAAGGUAAUUUGACUUACAAACAUUUAAGCCCCUGCACAUGCACUAGAUACAUAAAAGUCAAAGUUGGAUCACAUCAUAAUUACACAGCUUACCUGGUAAAUGCAUUUCUGUCCGUAGAAGGCAGCCCCGAAACGCUGCAGAAGCACAAACGGAGCUGGCUGUUGCAGGUGCCCGACAGCCCGGGGAGAUGCAAGAGGAGCACCCAGCGCCCGAGGAGGAGAGGCAGUGAUGUCUUUACCACGGUGACUCUGACCUGGCUCCCGGCGAAGCUGCGGCAGCACGGCCAAGCCAUCCCUGGGAACCAGGCGCAGUGACGAACAGAUCUGCUGGGAGCUGAGAAGCCCAAGGCCCACGGUUUGAAGUUUGAAUGGUUGUUUCCAUCUUCUUUCUGUAGCCCUCUAUUCCUCAUGCGUACACACGAUCGCACCGCCCGAUUCUCUCCCUGUGCUGCUCCUGUGCAACCUCACUGACUUUGCCUGCAUGGGAGGAGAGCCAGGCCUGCCACCAAUGUCAACACACCUUGGGCCCGAGCACGCGUUCCUUAAGCUUGCUUUCCUUUCGGUUUUAAAUGCUCAGCAGUGUCCCAGCGCUCCGGGUGGGCCCUUCUUCUCUCCCGCACCUCCCGGCCCCGCACACGGUGGCUGGUAGCGUUACGGCCCCAAGUCGGGCACCGGGAGCGCUUCGUUCCGGACCUUGGGUACAGCCAGCAGUCAUCUGCCACGAGCUAUACGUUGGUUGGCCGUAAUUAGAAGCUUGCUUAUGUGCAUGGAAUUUCAGUUUGGAGGAGGAAAUCGGCAGAAAUGAAGGCAGUGGACUUUGUAAUUUUAAAAGGUUCUUUCUUCGUUAAUUACUAUGGAGGGAAUAGAAGUUAGUGAAAAAUCAAGUCACAUAUGCAAAAUGCAAGGCCUUAGAAAUAAACUGCUGAAGUAUCAGGCAACGAGUUAAACCGACUGAAAAUGCAAUAAAUCCAUUAAUGCUGGAUCAAAAUAUCUACCUAUUUUUUCAAAAAUACAAUGCCAAAUGCAAUAGUGGACUAAUUGUAAAUUUGUGCUAUUACAAAUGUGCUUCUUUUCCCUUGCUCUGUUUUUACAUCAUUGGCAAAAUAUACUAUUCUGUACUGUACAAUAUAUUUUCUCACUAUAUUGAUUUUCUACUGCUUAUACAGAGUAGAAGUAAUAUCAAAGGGGACUCUGGCAUCAAGUUUACUCUAUUUUGUUUUUCAGGAAAUAUUUGUAAGCCAUGUGAUCUGUGGUAUGUGACAUUUACGGUCGGACUUGCAAAUACUGACUCUCGGACAAGGCAGUUAGAAACGCGGUGUCAGCAGCAGGUGUUUGCAGGACCUAGUCCAGACAGUCCCUCACUGCCAAGAAGUCUGAGGGGAAAAGGCAAGUCUAGAAACAUCACUGAGACUAAGCCAGUGCUACUCCCCGCCUCACCACAUUCAGAGAAAUUAGCUAUGAAUCAUAAAAGGAAUGACACACUCUUAUUACUGCCUCAAAAUAAUUUCUACCUUCUCCCCAGUUUUGUGUAUGGAUUCGAGCAGACUGUUUCUCUGGACUUCUUAAAUGGGUUCCAUGUCAGGGAGAAAACCUUUGUCUCCAGCUUAACAAAAGUUUUGACACUACGUAGAAUCCUCAGCUCUUUUCCAGGCUAAUUCCUUUCAGAACAUUAUUAAAAUGUCCCUUUAUUUUUCUAUAUAAAAUAAAUUGCACUCGAAUAACAAUCUAACAAAGGUUAUUCAAAUAACUGCUCUUCAAAUAAUAUACUCUCUUUUGGCCUCAUUUUAAUGAUAGCGGUAAUUUCAUUUCCCCAAAGCUAAAGUUGGCUACGUUACAGUACCUUGCAGUCCUGUUACUCUUUGGAGAAGUAAGGAUUGAAGGAAUGGGAGGUAACUGCAUCAAAAGACACGACAGCAGAAUGCCAGGUAUCUAAACCCGCUUUAACACCAACUGGGGUGUAUGACCUAAUUUUAAAGUAAUGACUUUUAGAAGAGAAAAUAGAUUUGUAUAAAUGGCAUUUUACACAACAUGCAUCUGGUUUUGAUUUUGAUUUUUUUCCUUCAUGGUCUCUCGAUUAUUUUUUUCUUUAAAAACGUGAAGACCGUGGAAUCAAGGGCAGGCUUAAAAGCACUGAGCCUGGAAAACAAAAUAUAUCAGAGGACACAUUUAAUAUAUUCCUAAAGCAAACGUGACUAAUGAAAGCCCUAAUUUACUCAAAUUAGUAUGCUCUAAGGUAAUAAUAUUAUCAAUAUUAUAUUGAGAAUGGUAGAGUGAUAGUGGUAAAGAGAUUUGGGGAGAUUUCAGAGGAGUCUACAGCACUGAGACCAAACUGAAUUCAGAAGACUUGCAGUCAAACUGAACUGCAGCUUAAGGGUCUAUGCACAUCUACAGUAACUACCAUCAUUUUCUUGUUCCUACAGCUACCUGUCCUCCUUUUUGUAGUUUUCACUCCACAAGUAUGUGUUAAACAACAUGUUAGAAGCAAGGGACACAGCAGGUUAAACCCCCAAAUACCAACUUCAGAAGAAGUUUUCAAACAUGGAGAAAAAAAAAACAGUAAAAUGUUCUUCUAUCCGCAGAAACCACCAGUAACGCUCUGCAAAUGACCGCUGGCAGCUGCCCUGCUGGAGCCACCGAGCGCCCUCCACCCCACGCCCGCUCCCGUGCCUGGGUCCGUCAGAGCCAGCCAGAAACACGCGGUACCAGAAGCAGGCUCAACAACGAGAAGUGGUGUGACUAGCAAGAGACACGGGGCGUGCUUCAGGAACUCCUCUUGCUUAUCAAGUACAGAAUCUGGGGCGCCACCUAAUUUCCACGGUAAGAUGAUUUUUCAGAGUAAAAUCUAGGCGUAGGGCCACGCUGCACUAGCGGUGCUCAACUGAUUUUUACCAGCCCAACACGUUUAGAAAAUGAUCACAGAAUUUGGCCUACUACUUAUAAACUAAAAUUUGAUAUAGAACGGCUUUGUCUUCCCUUUUAAACAGCAAUUUCAUAAUAUACUCACUGAGAAAACACUGUCAGUUGUGAGGUGCACAUCCCAUAGGAUAACUGCUCGGCCAUGUAGCUAGUAUAAGAACCUGUACAUCUGUUAAAUACAACUCGCCAGAAAGGAAAUAUUUUAAAUUAAGAAUUUAACAAUGAAUUGUCUUUAAAGUGGCUUCAAGAUUUUUAAAAUACUUUGCUAAUUCAUUCACAAGCACAUGAAUGCACUGACAUAUAUUGUCUUUAGAUCUUAAUACUGCCGUAUCACUUUUAUUGGGUAAACUAUCAUUAAUCCAAAAGUGUCCUAACGAAAAAAACAGGUAACCAAAAAAAAAAAAGUAUAAACAUUUCUAAAAUUCUCUGUAUAAGCCAGAGCUUAGGACCAGAACUCUGAUCUUUACUGUAAUAAUAUUUUAAUAGCAAGAGAAAUGGUAUGAGGACUGGAAAAUUAGUCGUACUCGUAUUCAUUGAGGAAUACAUGAACUUCACAAUUUUAUAUAGCGCCAUUGCAUAAUAAAUCACAAUACAGCUGGCUAGCAUUGCUGAAGUUCUAAUACAAAUACUAUGAGUUAACAUGUCCUGAUCAACAUUGCAGCUGUUACUGAUUACUGUGUUUCCUAAAAAUAAUUUAUUUUUAAAAAUGAAAGAGUUCCAGUAGCUCGUAUCUAGAAUAAAUUAAUAAUCUAUUAGCAUGUUCAGUAUAUUUGUACUUAAAGAUAUAUCUAUCUUCAAAGAAUAAAAAAACCACCAAGCAAUGAGAUCUGCUGGAUCUUUUAUAAUUGAAUUCUUAUAUUAAAAUGGAAUGGACAGUGGGAGAGAAGAGGGUAAACUAAUUACAUACAAUAGUAAAGUAAACUUAAACCCAUAUAAUAAAGGAACUCGAUAGGUUCCUUCAAAACAAUACAUGAGUUCCCUCACAAGAUUGAUUUAUUAGAACAAAGAAAGUAGUUUUGGCACUUCAGAUGCUGCAGGUGAUGGAAUUUAUGCAUAUGUGUUGUGUAGAUCUUUCUCUUUACUAGCGUGACAUGGAAGACUUAAAAACAAGGCUCCAAAAGGCUCUAGAAAUAAAUGCCAUUUUUGUCUAGGAAAUGAUAAAGCAGUAACCUUGUUUACUAAAAAAUAUAUGUAGGUACUCUGCAGCUACCUGCCAUUAAAAUGCAAAUAUCUUCAAGCAAUUAAAUGAUCUGAUCCCUAAUGCUACUACAGAAUAAAGAUAAACAGCUGUCUAAUCUAGCUUUAUACAUCUCAGUGCAUCCUUUGCAAUUAAUACUUCAAUGCACACAAACAAGAAACUUAUUAAAGCUUAUAGAAAAAAUGUUUUGCCUAAUGCCUUCUUUCUCAUGCAGGUAUGUGUGCUGUACAUGUAAUAAAGAUUUGUAAAAAUUACUGGAGAAUGCUCCACUGUGCUAUAGCAGAAAAUAUUAGAGAAGGCAGCUGAAGCUACCAUUCCCAGACCAGAUCUCAUGGUACUUUCUCAACCUAAAUGCGCUUUUGGAAUCUGCAGGCAUUCAGCUGGAGAAAAUCAAACGGGAUCAGGUCUGUCGUGUCCAUUCUUAACUCUAUUACUCCAAUGGAUGCAGGUAUUCUAAUUUUCUUCUUGGUAACUGGCCCAUUUGAAUCAUCUAGUAAUGUUUAAGGAUGCCUUUUAGGCAGAAGAAUUGUUUAAAAAACUAAUCAUGCAUCCACGAUUUUUUAAUGCUGCUAGAGAUGUACAUCAUUUUUGGCUAUACCAGAUAUGAGAUGAAUUACUUUUCUUGUUGUUAACAACAAGAAGAUAACCAGACUCAAUGGUGGUGGAAAAUACCAGUGAUCUUUGUUAACUGGUCCAGAAAGUAGAGUAAACUGUAGUACCCAGGAAGUUCAGUUAGUGCUACAUGCUUUUAAAGCCCGCUUUUGGGAAGAAAAUAAGCGGAUACAAAAGUCAAUGAUCCUCAUUUUUUGCAAAAAUAGUUUUGACAUGAACCUGCAUAAAAAAUGCAUGUUCAGCAUAGUUCUGUCAAUUUUAGAAAAUGCAUGCAGUGUGGAGCUUUAGGAGUCUCUGCUUAAAGACAUUAGUGUGUUGUA
Cygnus olor (mute swan) is the source of this 7727-nucleotide long non-coding RNA. RefSeq lists it as uncharacterized. Lineage: Eukaryota; Metazoa; Chordata; Aves; Anseriformes; Anatidae. The transcript is spliced from 3 exons. The record is from RefSeq and is a predicted model, not a curated record.